GACGAACGCUGGCGGCGUGCUUAACACAUGCAAGUCGAACGGUGAAAGCGGAGCUUGCUCCGCUGGAUCAGUGGCGAACGGGUGAGUAACACGUGGGCAACCUGCCCCUCACUUCGGGAUAACUCCGGGAAACCGGGGCUAAUACCGGAUAUGACCUCCUUGGGCAUCCUUGGAGGUGGAAAGUUUUGCGGUGAGGGAUGGGCCCGCGGCCUAUCAGCUUGUUGGUGAGGUAGUGGCUCACCAAGGCGACGACGGGUAGCCGGCCUGAGAGGGCGACCGGCCACACUGGGACUGAGACACGGCCCAGACUCCUACGGGAGGCAGCAGUGGGGAAUAUUGCGCAAUGGGCGAAAGCCUGACGCAGCAACGCCGCGUGCGGGAUGACGGCCUUCGGGUUGUAAACCGCUUUCAGCAGGGAAGAAGCCGCAAGGUGACGGUACCUGCAGAUGAAGCACCGGCUAACUACGUGCCAGCAGCCGCGGUAA
RNAcentral lists this ribosomal RNA (485 nucleotides) under uncultured bacterium. Its description in RNAcentral is "partial 16S ribosomal RNA". It matches the Rfam family "Bacterial small subunit ribosomal RNA", at positions 28 to 523 of the family's 1533-position model. The record is from RNAcentral.